Molecule: transfer RNA, 86 nt
Filed under: Candidatus Parcubacteria bacterium
Lineage: Bacteria; Candidatus Parcubacteria
Description: tRNA-Tyr
Rfam family: tRNA
About the family: Transfer RNA (tRNA) molecules are approximately 80 nucleotides in length. Their secondary structure includes four short double-helical elements and three loops (D, anti-codon, and T loops).
Source: RNAcentral
GGGUGCGUGGUGGAGCAGCUAACACACGAGUCUGUAAAACUCGCGGUCACUGACCUUCGCAGGUGCAAGUCCUGCCGCACCCACCA